RNAcentral lists this transfer RNA (79 nucleotides) under Blaesodactylus sakalava. Its description in RNAcentral is "tRNA-Trp". Lineage: Eukaryota; Metazoa; Chordata; Lepidosauria; Squamata; Gekkonidae. The record is from RNAcentral.
AGAGAUUUAGGUUAACAACACCUAUAAACCAAGGACCUUCAAAGCCCUAAACAGAGGACCCGAAAACCUCUAAUCUCUG